This 507-nucleotide long non-coding RNA is filed under the name Medicago truncatula (barrel medic). RNAcentral describes it as "long non-coding RNA (MTRU_LNC007504)". The record is from RNAcentral. Lineage: Eukaryota; Viridiplantae; Streptophyta; Magnoliopsida; Fabales; Fabaceae.
AUUAAGAUGUUAUGUUGAAUAUGAAGUAUGAGUAUGAUGUGAUGAUCUAUGUUGUUAUGAUUUGGUUAAUACGUGUUAUAUGAUGAUGUUAUAAUGUGGUGAAUAUGAAGUAAAUGAUAAUUAGAAGUUGGUUGGACUAUUAAGAAUUAUACAUGAAGAAUUAUUAUUACUAAUAGAUGAAGUUAUUUGGGUAGUUAAAUAUAAUUAUUGAAUUAUAUGCUUGAUAUUAUUAUUUUGUGAAAUCUCACCCCUUCUGCUUGGAAAUGUUGCUCUUCGUAUGAGAAACUUGCAGGUGAUCGAGUUUAAGUUGCUGUUGUGAGUGGAUUAGCUCUCAUGUGUGUCUUUAGGUGCUCUGAUACGUAACGGGAUGGGAAUUUUAAUGUUGUCUUUCUUUUCCUUACGUAUUGCUUAAAGAAUUUUCAUGAAUAAGAUGUUGAUCGGAUUUGUAUGAGAUAUUAAUGAUGAGGCCUUCGUGCCAAAUACUGUUUUAGUUAUCGAAUAAAUUCC